Dipodomys ordii (Ord's kangaroo rat) is the source of this 65-nucleotide non-coding RNA. NCBI's taxonomy places the organism in Eukaryota, Metazoa, Chordata, Mammalia, Rodentia, Heteromyidae. The record is from Rfam.
GGUGGCUUAGUGGUAGAGUGCUUGCCUUGCAUGCAUGAGACCCUGGGUUCGAUUCCUCAGCACCA